This 324-nucleotide ribosomal RNA is filed under the name Triticum aestivum (bread wheat). RNAcentral's name for it is "partial small subunit ribosomal RNA". Lineage: Eukaryota; Viridiplantae; Streptophyta; Magnoliopsida; Poales; Poaceae. The record is from RNAcentral.
AUGAUGCCUUUUGUUAAAGCCUUCAGCUCUAUGGAUCAUGUACGGGCAUUCCUAAAUUCUCGGAAUCUUGUUGAUGAACUGUUGAGUUUAGAGAUGGAGAUGGGUAAUUUCCUAGAAGCUGCAAGAAUAGCAAAGCAUAAUGGAGAUGUCUUACUGGAGGUAGACAUGCUCGAGAAGGCAGGCUUGUUUGAGGAUGUGACAUGGCUUCUCCUCCAUAUCAUUGUGGAUUCCUUGUGGUCUUCAAAUAGUAGAGGGUGGCCUGAGAUAUGUAGAGAAGGAACAAUUGCUUUCAAAAGCAAAAGAGAUGACAGAAAAGGUCUCUGA